This 497-nucleotide ribosomal RNA is filed under the name uncultured bacterium. RNAcentral describes it as "partial 16S ribosomal RNA". It matches the Rfam family "Bacterial small subunit ribosomal RNA", at positions 28 to 507 of the family's 1533-position model. The record is from RNAcentral.
GAUGAACGCUGGCGGCGUGCCUAAUACAUGCAAGUCGAGCGAACAGGCGAGGAGCUUGCUCCUCUGACGUUAGCGGCGGACGGGUGAGUAACACGUGGAUAACCUACCUAUAAGACUGGGAUAACUUCGGGAAACCGGAGCUAAUACCGGAUAAUAUAUUGAACCGCAUGGUUCAAUAGUGAAAGACGGUUUUGCUGUCACUUAUAGAUGGAUCCGCGCCGCAUUAGCUAGUUGGUAAGGUAACGGCUUACCAAGGCAACGAUGCGUAGCCGACCUGAGAGGGUGAUAGGCCACACUGGAACUGAGACACGGUCCAGACUCCUACGGGAGGCAGCAGUAGGGAAUCUUCCGCAAUGGGCGAAAGCCUGACGGAGCAACGCCGCGUGAGUGAUGAAGGUCUUCGGAUCGUAAAACUCUGUUAUUAGGGAAGAACAAAUGUGUAAGUAACUAUGCACGUCUUGACGGUACCUAAUCAGAAAGCCACGGCUAACUACGUG